This 2440-nucleotide long non-coding RNA is filed under the name Heterocephalus glaber (naked mole-rat). Its description in RNAcentral is "lncRNA (ENSHGLG00000032863.1)". The record is from RNAcentral. Lineage: Eukaryota; Metazoa; Chordata; Mammalia; Rodentia; Bathyergidae.
CGCUUUGGGACACCGGCUCUCAGACAGACGCCUGCUGAGAGACCGCACUGCAAGGGGUCUCUCCGCCCCGGAGUCUGACAGUGCCUGCUUGGCGGACCCUGAGCUUCCUGUGGGGGACGUGCACCCGGUGGUCCUUCCUGUCUGGCUUCUCCCGCCACUCGAAGAGCAGCAUUAAAGAAGCCCGCCUUGCUGGUGCAGACUUCUGCAUCCCGUGGUGCUCAGUUCCAGAUGUGCUACACCACUUUCUCUUCGUGCUGGAGGGACGUGGGGUGCUCCCGGCUGGGGAAAGGAUGGGGACGACUUUGUGAGCUUUAUUUUUCAAUAUAGGGGAUGGGACCCAAGGCCUUCACACACAUCCUAAUCUUUUAAAAGUUUUUAUUUUGAGGCAAGGCCUAAGUCACCCCAUUGCCCAGGGUGGGCUCCAACUUGGUAUUCUCCUGUCUCACCCUCCCUGAGUGCCAUGAUCACAGGUGUGCACCACCACAAGGCUUGGAAUUGCUUUUUGCUUGAGGUGAGAAGAAUCUCUGGGUCCGCAGCUGUCCCUGUGGCUGUCAGAUGUGCGCUGCUACGGGCACCGCAGGCUGUGGAGUAAGAGAGUCCAUGAGCGUGUGACCUGGCUCUGCCUGGGCCGCUCUGCUACCCGGUCCCCAUCACCGCCCUUGGCCCGAGUUCCUGCACCCAGGGGUCUGACCGCACUUGCUGCUCAGUUUGUGGUGGCCACUUGCUGCCCUGCGCACUUGUGCAGAAAAGCGAGUCGGUGUCCGCUGCACACGAGUCCCCAAGUUUCACAGAGGACCAUUCGUCUACAGCACGUGAUUAGCGAGCAGCGAGGCUGGGGGCGAGGACCCCGGAGGCUUGCAGCGCUGUGGCCACGCUGGGCUGCUCUCCCACUCAGCCCAGGGCCCCUUCACGCGGGGGGCGGGGUGACGCAGGGUGGCCACGGGCGGUGGUCGAGUACCCUCGAAUGGAGCAGUGAGCUCAUGGCCUGGAGAUGGCAGCCGAGGAGGUGAGCUCUGUGACGUGAGCAGCCCUGAGGGCUGAGCGCUCCGCAGGGUCAGGGCCUCACGCAGGGCGCAGGGCACAGGGCGCAGGGCGCAGGGAGCUGUGUGUGACCCAGGAAGCCUCAGGCACAUCGGCCACACCUGCUGAGAGCCGCCCAGGACCUGAGAAGAGUGUGGAUCACAGCAGCCAGGGACACUGCCACCCUGGGUUGGCUGACGGCUGGAGACCAAGUCCCUGGUGGAGGGCACAGCUGCAUAGGCCCCCUUGCACCCAGAAGGACCGACCAGCCCGGCCGCCUGAGGCUCCCGUCAUCCGCAGGAACCUGAGCCUCACCCAGGGCCCAGGCCACCUCCUCGGUGCCUGGGCACAGCGGCCUUCUGUGAAGCACACGUGGCCCUGUCCUCCGGGCUUUACCACAGCCACAUCUCUGUUGUGGAUGGAGGGGAGAGUCCACGUGGCCAUCUGCAGCUGGACACUGAGGACACUGCAGCUGCCCAGCCACGAAGCCGCAACCACAGAAUGAGAGAUGAGGCCCAGAGCCCCCUGGAGAGUCGCCGCUCCGAGGCCACCCGGAAGGCUGAGGAUGCUGGGGUCUGAAGGCCACGGGCAAUGGCGGCUGCAGUGACAAAUCUUAGCAGAAAGUAGCUAAGCCCACCCACCAGAGCUCUGCUGGGCUUUGGGGGCUGUGGUUCCUGCGGGGAGUCCUGGGCCGGCGGCCUCCCACCCUCCACCCACAGCGCCCUCACCCGUGGAUCACGGUGCACGGUUCCUCCACGAGUGCUCAGCGUCUUGGUCAGGAGCCUGGGCUCUGGCCCUGUGGCCCACCCUGUGCUCCUCUGGGCCCCGCUGUGCCCUGAGGGGUGGGCGGGGCUGAUGGCUGCUGCCCCAGUCCCGAGCUCUCCCACCCCCAGCGAAGAAAAAGCAGGCAUUGUCUGCAUCUCUAUUUACAGGAUUGGGGCUUAUUGUCACUCACCACUGGCAAACGUGUCAUUAAAUUUCUCUUAAUCCCUGUGUGCCGCCCUUGGGACUGCGGGCCGGAGGGUGUCCCUGUCCGGCUUUGCCUCGUUGUCCACCGACCUGCAAGCCAUGAACCACACACGCAGAGUCCUGGCUCCUGGGCAUCAUUUCUGACUCCCUGCACCCAGUCACUGACCCCUGGUGGAGCACAGGGGACACGCAGGGCCUCAGGGGGCCUGGAAGCCCGUGCCUAUGGCAUCAGAGCCCCGCCGCCUGCCCCUUGUCCCUGCCCCUUGUCCCUGCUGAGAUGGCGCUGGCUGCUGGGGUUUGUGGACACCUUCUGUCAUCACACACGCACUUGUGUGGUGGCUGCACAGUCACAGCGUCUGUGAGCCUCGGACAGUUAUCUUUGAUGCCGGCUCCAGCUUUGUCCCCUGUGUGUGCUGGGCUCAACGUGAGAAACAGUUCUUGUCCCGGCCGA